Molecule: ribosomal RNA, 468 nt
Filed under: uncultured bacterium
Lineage: Bacteria
Description: partial 16S ribosomal RNA
Rfam family: Bacterial small subunit ribosomal RNA
Source: RNAcentral
GACGAACGCUGGCGGCGUGCUUAACACAUGCAAGUCGAACGGAAAGGCCCUGCUUUUGUGGGUUGCUCGAGUGGCGAACGGGUGGGUAACACGUGAGUAACCUGCCCUUGACUUUGGGAUAACUUCAGGAAACUGGGGCUAAUACCGGAUAGGAGCUCCUGCUGCAUGGUGGGGGUUGGAAAGUUUCGGCGGUUGGGGAUGGACUCGCGGCUUAUCAGCUGGUUGGUGGGGUAGUGGCUUACCAAGGCUUUGACGGGUAGCCGGCCUGAGAGGGUGACCGGCGACAAUGGGACUGCGAGACGGCCCAGAGGCCUACGGUAGGCAGUAGUGGGGAAUAUUGCACAAUGGGCGGAAGCCUGAUGCAGCAACGCCGCGUGUGGGAUGACGGCCUUCGGGUUGUAAACCGCUUUCGCCUGUGACGAAGCGUGAGUGACGGUAAUGGGUAAAGAAGCACCGGCUAACUACGUG